AUACCUUUCUCGGCUUUUGGCUAAGACUAAGUGAAGUAUCUGUUCUUAUCAAUUUAAUAUAUGAUAUUAACUGAAUUUUUUGAAGGGGACUUAACUAUAGUAGCUUGCUAUCGAGACUCUCAAGCGUCGCCUUGGUGUUAUACUUGGAUCCUUGUAGAAAUAAAAGUA
This 168-nucleotide small nuclear RNA is filed under the name Solanum tuberosum (potato). RNAcentral describes it as "snRNA U2". It matches the Rfam family "U2 spliceosomal RNA". Rfam says of the family: U2 is a small nuclear RNA (snRNA) component of the spliceosome (involved in pre-mRNA splicing). Complementary binding between U2 snRNA (in an area lying towards the 5' end but 3' to hairpin I) and the branchpoint sequence (BPS) of the intron results the bulging out of an unpaired adenosine, on the BPS, which initiates a nucleophilic attack at the intronic 5' splice site, thus starting the first of two transesterification reactions that mediate splicing. The record is from RNAcentral. Lineage: Eukaryota; Viridiplantae; Streptophyta; Magnoliopsida; Solanales; Solanaceae.